Molecule: long non-coding RNA, 982 nt
Filed under: Nicotiana tabacum (common tobacco)
Lineage: Eukaryota; Viridiplantae; Streptophyta; Magnoliopsida; Solanales; Solanaceae
Description: long non-coding RNA (NTAB_LNC017389)
Source: RNAcentral
GCCUCCCCCUCCCGAAAAAACCUAGCCGCCCCAAUUAGAAGAAUGCUCUCAAAUUCCUCACACACGCUCUCACAUUAGGACCCGGUUAAUCUCUGCAUUCCUUAGAAAUUCACAAACUCUUAUUUCAUCAUUUUUUUUAGAGAAAGAACACUCCAUUCUCACGAGUUGGUUUUAUUCAACAAUGGACACUGAUUUUACGCUAGACUCGGCAGAAUAGACACUCCCCUCAUCUUAUACUAAUUUCUUUCAAAAACAAAAUGCACAUAUCCUGCAUACACUGAAUACACUGCAUAAGCAAGCUUUUUGGGAACAUUUUUCUGGGUUUAGAAGCUGCUGAAGUUUGAGUCAAUUUGCUGGUGAUUACUGUUUAAGUUGCUCUUGUCUGACCAAGCUCUGUUUGCUCUCGAAUUUGACCUUUACUUGGUCAUUUUAUUUUGUCUCCUUGUUGUUAGGUAUGUAACACUUCAUUUGAGAUCUCUAUUAAAUAUGGAAUUGAAGUUUGUGAUUUGUUCUUGUUGUAUUUAUGUCCAGAUUUCGUGUAUUGAGGGCGAUGGUCCAUAGAUCUGUCCAUAUUUGUUGUCUCCCUUGAUAUCUAAAAUCAUUCAUUUUGCUCAAGUUGAAAGUUAAGCUAAAAUUGUCCAUUAACUAUGUUUAAACUCACUUGAACAAUGAUUUGUAUAGUGGAUGCAUAUUGAGAUUUUAAAUUACCGAAAAAUGAUUCAAGGUCAAAGGAUAAUAAUCUUUUAAAUCUCAUAUGUUAGAUGUUUGAUUUGAGUGAGUAAGUGUAAUCUUGAUUGGUCUCAAUCAAUUGCUCUGUCUGUUAAUGGCACUAUUAAUUUGCAAUUUCGGAAUUCCGUUGGGAGGCUUUGGAGUAGCAAAGAGUUGGCAAUGAACAUUUUUUUUUGCAGGAAUCGACAUUGCUAAAGCCUAAUUUUAGAGUUUAUUAGUAGAAGUCUAUAGGUGAUGACAAGAUUCAAAUAUG